GCUGGCGGCGUGCCUAAUACAUGCAAGUCGAACGAACUCUGGUAUUGAUUGGUGCUUGCAUCAUGAUUUACAUUUGAGUGAGUGGCGAACUGGUGAGUAACACGUGGGAAACCUGCCCAGAAGCGGGGGAUAACACCUGGAAACAGAUGCUAAUACCGCAUAACAACUUGGACCGCAUGGUCCGAGUUUGAAAGAUGGCUUCGGCUAUCACUUUUGGAUGGUCCCGCGGCGUAUUAGCUAGAUGGUGGGGUAACGGCUCACCAUGGCAAUGAUACGUAGCCGACCUGAGAGGGUAAUCGGCCACAUUGGGACUGAGACACGGCCCAAACUCCUACGGGAGGCAGCAGUAGGGAAUCUUCCACAAUGGACGAAAGUCUGAUGGAGCAACGCCGCGUGAGUGAAGAAGGGUUUCGGCUCGUAAAACUCUGUUGUUAAAGAAGAACAUAUCUGAGAGUAACUGUUCAGGUAUUGACGGUAUUUAACCAGAAAGCCACGGCUAACUACGUGCCAGCAGCCGCGGUAAUACGUAGGUGGCAAGCGUUGUCCGGAUUUAUUGGGCGUAAAGCGAGCGCAGGCGGUUUUUUAAGUCUGAUGUGAAAGCCUUCGGCUCAACCGAAGAAGUGCAUCGGAAACUGGGAAACUUGAGUGCAGAAGAGGACAGUGGAACUCCAUGUGUAGCGGUGAAAUGCGUAGAUAUAUGGAAGAACACCAGUGGCGAAGGCGGCUGUCUGGUCUGUAACUGACGCUGAGGCUCGAAAGUAUGGGUAGCAAACAGGAUUAGAUACCCUGGUAGUCCAUACCGUAAACGAUGAAUGCUAAGUGUUGGAGGGUUUCCGCCCUUCAGUGCUGCAGCUAACGCAUUAAGCAUUCCGCCUGGGGAGUACGGCCGCAAGGCUGAAACUCAAAGGAAUUGACGGGGGCCCGCACAAGCGGUGGAGCAUGUGGUUUAAUUCGAAGCUACGCGAAGAACCUUACCAGGUCUUGACAUACUAUGCAAAUCUAAGAGAUUAGACGUUCCCUUCGGGGACAUGGAUACAGGUGGUGCAUGGUUGUCGUCAGCUCGUGUCGUGAGAUGUUGGGUUAAGUCCCGCAACGAGCGCAACCCUUAUUAUCAGUUGCCAGCAUUAAGUUGGGCACUCUGGUGAGACUGCCGGUGACAAACCGGAGGAAGGUGGGGAUGACGUCAAAUCAUCAUGCCCCUUAUGACCUGGGCUACACACGUGCUACAAUGGAUGGUACAACGAGUUGCGAACUCGCGAGAGUAAGCUAAUCUCUUAAAGCCAUUCUCAGUUCGGAUUGUAGGCUGCAACUCGCCUACAUGAAGUCGGAAUCGCUAGUAAUCGCGGAUCAGCAUGCCGCGGUGAAUACGUUCCCGGGCCUUGUACACACCGCCCGUCACACCAUGAGAGUUUGUAACACCCAAAGUCGGUGGGGUAACCUUUUAGGAACCAGCCGCCUAAGGUGGGACAGAUGAUUAGGGUG
Molecule: ribosomal RNA, 1482 nt
Filed under: Lactiplantibacillus plantarum
Lineage: Bacteria; Bacillati; Bacillota; Bacilli; Lactobacillales; Lactobacillaceae
Description: bacterial SSU rRNA
Rfam family: Bacterial small subunit ribosomal RNA
Source: RNAcentral